Molecule: ribosomal RNA, 454 nt
Filed under: Klebsiella pneumoniae
Lineage: Bacteria; Pseudomonadati; Pseudomonadota; Gammaproteobacteria; Enterobacterales; Enterobacteriaceae
Description: bacterial SSU rRNA
Rfam family: Bacterial small subunit ribosomal RNA
Source: RNAcentral
UAAAGCGCACGCAGGCGGUCUGUCAAGUCGGAUGUGAAAUCCCCGGGCUCAACCUGGGAACUGCAUUCGAAACUGGCAGGCUAGAGUCUUGUAGAGGGGGGGAGAAUUCCAGGUGUAGCGGUGAAAUGCGUAGAGAUCUGGAGGAAUACCGGUGGCGAAGGCGGCCCCCUGGACAAAGACUGACGCUCAGGUGCGAAAGCGUGGGGAGCAAACAGGAUUAGAUACCCUGGUAGUCCACGCCGUAAACGAUGUCGAUUUGGAGGUUGUGCCCUUGAGGCGUGGCUUCCGGAGCUAACGCGUUAAAUCGACCGCCUGGGGAGUACGGCCGCAAGGUUAAAACUCAAAUGAAUUGACGGGGGCCCGCACAAGCGGUGGAGCAUGUGGUUUAAUUCGAUGCAACGCGAAGAACCUUACCUGGUCUUGACAUCCACAGAACUUUCCAGAGAUGGAUUGG